This is a long non-coding RNA of Mauremys reevesii (Reeves's turtle), 1451 nucleotides long. RefSeq lists it as uncharacterized. The record is from RefSeq and is a predicted model, not a curated record. Lineage: Eukaryota; Metazoa; Chordata; Testudines; Geoemydidae. The transcript has 2 exons.
GGAGGGGAGGAGAGAGGAGCAGGGUAGGGAGUGUGGGAUUAGGGCAACAAGGGAAGAGUAGGAAUAGGGUCAGCAGUUGGGAACAGAGUGGGAGAUCGGCAGCCUGGGACACACCUGCAUGCAGCAAUGCACCUAGCAGUGCCCAGGCAAUUACACACCCAUUUGGCCUUGCUCAAAACCACACCAGUCCAACUACCACAGUUCUCCUCUGUGCCAAACUUAACCAGCACGUGGUCAUCUGGGAUGGGACCCACUAGGGAAAUAGUCCCUACUGUGGAAAUAGUCUAAAUACUGCUGUGCAUAAUGCACUGGUCAUUGGUUAGGUCACCUGUCUGCUUUGGUUUCUGACAAACAUUGAAAUGCCAGAGCCACUUACCUGUACACAUAGCAUUGAACACACCAUGGUACUUAUUUUGCCAGCAUCAGGGUCUUCAAGUGAGAAGCCUAUUGUGACGAUCCACUGAGACUUGCAUCACCACUGCUUAGUUCCCCGUUUCGUUCAUGUACUCCUGAUCCUGUCGGUGGCACAGAAUAGUGACAUCAAUAUCUGCAGCAGAGUUUUGGAACUGCAAUUGUUUAAAUCCUUCAGUGAUUGCUACCACAUUGGCAACCUGUCAGUAUAGCACCAUUAAGAUCUCCAUGACAACAGAACUCACCGUGGUCUUUCCCAAACCCAAACUGGUGCUCGACUAUCCAUUAACUCUCUGGAGUAGCUAGCUCCCAAGAAUCAAUCUCCAUUUUCCUUUCCAUGGAAAACAGAGCUCUCCUCAUAGUUCUGCAAUGUUGAGGCUAGUUCAACAGAGAUGUACAGGAAAGUCUCUUCAUUUUAUUCCUUCUGAUGAUAUGCAGCCACUGGUGUUUUUCCUAGAUCUUGAGAACAACUGUCUUUUCACUCUGAUUCAGACCCAGUGCUUUACCCACAGUGAACAUCCUGCUCAAGUUCCACACAGAUCUACAUAUUCCCAAAGCGAUGUGAGUUAUGAGACUGUUUCAAAAAUAACUCUGUGAACUGCUGCCUUUGGUUUCUGACUCUCCACAGGUUCUCGGACUAGAACAUGCAACACUGCAGCCAUCUCAUAAUUGCUUUUCAAAAGUCCCAGUAAAUUUUCUUUCUGAGCAAGUAGCAAGGCCUGAGUGCCCAGCCUGGCCUCCAUUUUGAGAACAGGACUUGAAAAUAUCACCAGUUACUGGGAAUUUAUGGGCGAUUCUGAGGGACUGAUGAGAGUUUGACCACUACUCUGACACUUCCUCUGGGCUCUUAGCAGGGCCUUUCAAAGUCUCCCACAAAUCACUGCUUCAGGAAGCUGUGCUGAGAAAUAGGAAGUAGGUAUCCAGGAAGCAGUGAACAGUGUGAUGUAGUACAUAUGUGGACGAGGGGCAAAACUGCACCCAAAACUACAUGGCAAGUGUGAAUACUCUGUAUUGCUAGUUCUAACACCAGUGCUCUCCUG